AAAUUUGAGUUCUUUAUUUGCAGGAGGCAGUACAUGGUUGUAAUUUUAUAGCCAUAUUUCUUCUUUGUAAAACUUGGCUACAGAUAGGAAUACCAAAGCACAUGCUCAGAUUUUACUUUAGUGUAUAGUAUGGAAGACUGUAAAGGAAAGCUUAGGAAUUACUAGACUACCAGGGUACAAUUUGUCAAAGAUAGUUACAGGUGGACAGUACUAAGUCAGUAAAGUCAAAGUUGGGUGAAGAUUUCAGAAUAAAUUAACACAAUAUAGAACAAAGGUUGUUUGACCACAGUUUAUAUAUUUAAAUUAAAGGACAGCUAAGAUUCUGUUGUAGGAGAAAGAAGUAGAUUAAGCUUGUGCUUUCUGUUCUUUUGAGGCAGAGUUUCUAACCCAGACUGCCCUCUAACUUUGAUGUAGCUGAGGACGACCUUGUCCUGAUCCUCCACCUCCUGAGUGCUAGGAGCCUAAGCUUGUAUCACCAACCCCAGUUCAUGUGGAGCCCGGACUGGGCUCAGCUUCGUGCCUGUGAGGAAGGCACUGUACUAGCUGACCUGCAUCCUCUUAAGGAAUGAAAACGGGCUGGGGAGGUGCUCGGUGCUAACGUGUCGUGCAAGCAUGAGGUACCGGAGUUCAGAUCCUCAGGACCCGUAUAAGAUCCUGGCACAUGCUGGAACAGGUCUGUAGCUAAUCCCGUUACUCUACACAGGAGAGGAGAGCGAGAGAUUCAUUCCAGCGAGCUUUCAGACCAGUUUUCAUAGUGGGCAGAAUGGCAGCAACCGAGGCCCUUGUUACAAACAAGGUAGAGGGAGGCCUGACGCCUGUUGUUCUGUGCUCCUCUCACUUCAGGAAGUUUCCAGUUGUCAAAUGACUUGUUCAAAAGAUCAACAUUCUUUAGUACUACUAAGUAGUAAGUCACUUGAGCUAUAACUAUUACUGGUCAGGAAGUAAUGUCGAAGUCAGUUAUAUUCUCUGAAACUCUACCUUAAAUAAAACACUUCAUGACUGAAGCUUCAUUUAGAAUGAACAUAAUAGUACUAGAGAUUUUUAGUUGAAUUGGCCAUGAUUUAUCCAGGGACUCUGAAAAGAGAGGUGACAGUAAGCAUGUAUGUAGCUUCAGUGUUGAUUUGUUAAAAGAAAAAAAAAAGACUCCUUGGACACAUACCUAAAUUAUGUCUUGUAAAAGGAUGAAGGGAACAAAAAGGGUGUGACUCUGAUGUUGAAGGUGUCACAUUAAAAAGUAAUAAUUUAAAAUACAUACAUAGUCCAGUUUGCCAUAGAUGAUGUUUUUUCUUUGUUGUUGUGGACCUACUGUCUACUAUAAAAACGUAGGCAGCAAUAUUUCUAAGAGCGGGUACUAUAAAAAUGUCAAAAACACCAGGCAUGACGACACACACCUUUAAUGCCAACACUCAAGUGGCAAAAGCAGGAAGAUCCCUGAGUUUUGAGUCAGCCAGGGCUACACAGUCAGAUGUUAUCUU
Molecule: long non-coding RNA, 1475 nt
Filed under: Rattus norvegicus (Norway rat)
Lineage: Eukaryota; Metazoa; Chordata; Mammalia; Rodentia; Muridae
Description: long non-coding RNA NONRATT012019
Source: RNAcentral